ACGAACGCUGGCGGCAGGCUUAACACAUGCAAGUCGAACGCCCCGCAAGGGGAGUGGCAGACGGGUGAGUAACGCGUGGGAACAUACCCUUUUCUACGGAAUAGCUCUGGGAAACUGGAAUUAAUACCGUAUACGCCCUACGGGGGAAAGAUUUAUCGGGGAAGGAUUGGCCCGCGUUGGAUUAGCUAGUUGGUGGGGUAAAGGCCUACCAAGGCGACGAUCCAUAGCUGGUCUGAGAGGAUGAUCAGCCACAUUGGGACUGAGACACGGCCCAAACUCCUACGGGAGGCAGCAGUGGGGAAUAUUGGACAAUGGGCGCAAGCCUGAUCCAGCCAUGCCGCGUGAGUGAUGAAGGCCUUAGGGUUGUAAAGCUCUUUCACCGAUGAAGAUAAUGACGGUAGUCGGAGAAGAAGCCCCGGCUAACUUCGU
This 429-nucleotide ribosomal RNA is filed under the name uncultured bacterium. RNAcentral describes it as "partial 16S ribosomal RNA". It matches the Rfam family "Bacterial small subunit ribosomal RNA", at positions 29 to 506 of the family's 1533-position model. The record is from RNAcentral.